This 719-nucleotide ribosomal RNA is filed under the name Klebsiella sp. T38. Its description in RNAcentral is "bacterial SSU rRNA". It matches the Rfam family "Bacterial small subunit ribosomal RNA", at positions 64 to 773 of the family's 1533-position model. Lineage: Bacteria; Pseudomonadati; Pseudomonadota; Gammaproteobacteria; Enterobacterales; Enterobacteriaceae. The record is from RNAcentral.
GAGCGGUUGACAGAGAGCUGGUCUCUUCGAUUUGACGAGUGACGGACGGGUGAUGAAUGUCUGGCAGACUGCCUGAGGGAGGGGGAUUACUACUGGGAACGGUAACUCCUACCGCAUCCCGUCGCAGAACCAAAGUGGGGUACCUUCCUUGCUCAUGCCAAUGAAUGUGCCCAGAUGGGAUUAGCUGGUGGGUGGGGGAACGGCUCACCUAACCAACCAUCCCUGGCUGGUCUGAAAGGAUGACCACCCUGACUGGAACUGACACACGGUCCUCACUCCUACGGGAGGCAUGGGGAAUAAAUAUUGCACAAUGGAAAGCAAGCCUGAUGCAUGCAUGCCGUGUGUAUGAAGUCUUCCUUCUGGUUGUAACUUACUUUUGGGAGGAGGAAGGCGUUGAGGUUCCAACCUGUUUUGUUGACGUUACUCAAUAAACAAGCACCGGCUAACUCCGUGCCAGCGCCGCGGUCAUACGGGUGGUGCAAGCGUUAAUAAUUAAUUGCUGGGCGUAAAGCCCACGCUGGCUUGCUGUUAAGUAUGAUGUGAAAUCCCCGGCCUCCUGCUGACUGCUGCCUUUGAUGCUGGGCUGCUUGACUCUUGAAGAUGGUGGAAUAAUUCGUGGUGUAGCGAAGAAAUGCGAUAAGAUCUGGAACAAUACUGGUGAAGAAGACCACCCCCUGUGAUACUGACGACGCUCAGGUGCGAAAUCGUGAGGAGCAAAC